GACGAACGCUGGCGGCGUGCUUAACACAUGCAAGUCGAACGGAAAGGCCCUGCUUUUGUGGGAUGCUCGAGUGGCGAACGGGUGAGUAACACGUGAGUAACCUGCCCUUGACUUUGGGAUAACUUCAGGAAACUGGGGCUAAUACCGGAUAGGAGCUCCUGCUGCAUGGUGGGGGUUGGAAAGUUUCGGCGGUUGGGGAUGGACUCGCGGCUUAUCAGCUUGUUGGUGGGGUAGUGGCUUACCAAGGCUUUGACGGGUAGCCGGCCUGAGAGGGUGACCGGCCACAUUGGGACUGGGAUACGGCCCAGACUCCUACGGGGGGCAGGAGUGGGGAAUAUUGCACAAAGGGCGGAGGCCUGAUGCAGCAACGCCGCGUGCGGGAUGACGGCCUUCGGGUUGUAAACCGCUUUCGCCUGUGACGAAGCGUGAGUGACGGUAAUGGGUAAAGAAGCACCGGCUAACUACGU
RNAcentral lists this ribosomal RNA (467 nucleotides) under uncultured bacterium. RNAcentral describes it as "partial 16S ribosomal RNA". It matches the Rfam family "Bacterial small subunit ribosomal RNA", at positions 28 to 506 of the family's 1533-position model. The record is from RNAcentral.